ACAAAGGCCAUUGUUGAGGCUGGAUCUGCGAUGGGAGGGAGAGAGACAGAAAAGGGAGAGAGCUCGACGGCUAUAAGAGAAGAAGAGAGGGGAAGACUGACUAUAGAGCCAGGAUUCGCCUGAUAAAUCAGGACAAGAACAAGUACAACACUCCAAAAUAUCGUUUUGUUGUGCGAUUUUCCAAUAAGGACAUUGUCGCACAAAUAAUAUCAGCUAGUAUUGCUGGGGAUAUGGUUCUUGCAGCUGCCUAUUCUCAUGAGCUUCCUCAAUUUGGGCUUGAAGUCGGUUUGACAAACUAUGCAGCAGCUUACUGCACUGGACUUCUGUUGGCUCGUCGAACUUUGAAAAAGCUUGAAAUGGAUGAGGAAUAUGAGGGCAAUGAGGAGGCUACUGGGGAGGACUAUUCAGUUGAACCAGCAGAGACUAGGAGGCCAUUCCGUGCUUUACUUGAUGUUGGGCUGGUUAGAACCACAACUGGAAAUCGUGUUUUUGGUGCUCUCAAGGGAGCUCUAGAUGGUGGUUUGGAUAUCCCUCACAGUGAUAAGAGGUUUGCUGGCUUUUCAAAGGACAGCAAGCAGCUUGAUGCUGAAGUUCACCGCAAGUAUAUCUAUGGUGGUCAUGUUGCUGCAUAUAUGAGUGUAAAUCUGGCGGGCUGAAUUUGUGUCUUAUGACUAUUAGUAGCAUCAAUUGAAGUUUUUGCUGUUGUAAUUGGACAUUCUUGUUUUAAUUGACUUGCUCUGUGUUCUUUCUGCAGACUUUGAUGGAGGAUGAGCCAGAGAAAUACCAGCUUCAUUUCAGUGAAUACAUCAAGAGGGGAAUUGAGCCAGAUGACAUGGAGGAGUUGUACAAGAAGGUUCAUGCAGCAAUUCGUGCUGAUCCCACUUCCAAGAAAUCAGAAAAGCAACCACCUAAGGAACACAAGAGGUUUGUUGCUAUUUGGUUAAUAAACGUGGACAUUUGUCUCUCGGCUAGUUAUAGUCUCAGUUUAACUGUUAGUGUUAGAUUAGAUAAACAUCACAAUUCAACUACCAUGUGAUCAGAUCUGACAUUGGGAAAUAUUUCAUAAGAUGUGUUUGGUUCUUGGCUCUCAUCUAAAUUUAUUACAUAUUGUUCGGUUCUCAUGGUCGUCUUUAGAUGCAUCUUUUAUAGGUUUGCCAUGGUUUUGGUGUGCAGUCAUGCUACCUUUGCGGAAAACCACCAAAAAUCGUGUUAUAUACUGUUUGCAUAUUGUUUAGCUGGUCUUCUGCACUUCCAUAUGACACAAGUUUGACUUGCUGCAUUAGUUAAUCCGUGUCAUUUUCCAUCAACCAUUAUGGGUGUUGUACAAUCUUUUGAUUGAAAUCUUAUUGUCUGUGUUUCACAGGUACAAUUUGAGGAAGUUGACGUACGAGGAAAGGAAAGCUAAGUUGAUUGAACGAUUGCAGGCACUUAACUCUGCCGCUGAUGAUGAUGAGGAUGAUGAGUAGAAGUAUAAUAUUGGCAUUUGAGUAUGAAUAUGCUAAAGUUUCCUUAGCGCACAUCCUACUUUUAAGUUUUGUUUGGAACCUAGUGUCUUAAAAGUUAUUUUUUGUUUAUUGUUUGGUGCAUUGGACUACUACUUUUUAGAUGACAAGAUUUUGAAAUGUUUAGUUUGGUAUGAAAUGCAAUUUCAAUUUUGACUUGGCAUUGUAAAACAUUUUCUGAUUUUAUUGGGUUCACCUUUUACCUUCUGUGGUUCUGAUAGGUUCAGUUUAUUCUUAUGCCUUUAGGAUACGACUGGAAGAUGUGUUUCUGUAGUGGUUGACGAGUUUGUCUUUUCAAAUCUAUUAUUAUAUCUUGGUUGAGC
Molecule: unclassified non-coding RNA, 1825 nt
Filed under: Hevea brasiliensis (rubber tree)
Lineage: Eukaryota; Viridiplantae; Streptophyta; Magnoliopsida; Malpighiales; Euphorbiaceae
Source: RNAcentral